Molecule: small RNA, 29 nt
Filed under: Bombyx mori (domestic silkworm)
Lineage: Eukaryota; Metazoa; Arthropoda; Insecta; Lepidoptera; Bombycidae
Description: piRNA piR-bmo-1382978
Source: RNAcentral
UAGAUGGGUCUCCGGAGACCGGGGUAUAU